RNAcentral lists this long non-coding RNA (15756 nucleotides) under Eucalyptus grandis. RNAcentral describes it as "long non-coding RNA (EGRA_LNC005270)". Lineage: Eukaryota; Viridiplantae; Streptophyta; Magnoliopsida; Myrtales; Myrtaceae. The record is from RNAcentral.
AACAGGGAGGGCUUGGUGAACCUGUACCGGCAACGAUCGGUGCUGAAAAUCGAGGGCCGGAAGAUCCAGGGCAAGGAGGCUAUCCUCGCCAAACUCAUCUCCCUUCCGCAGCCGUGCCACCACGAAUUCCCCGAGAUCAGUUGCUGCACCUAUCGCUUGGCACCCGCAUCGGCAUCGGUCGCCGUGCGCGUCCUGGUCCGCGGCGGGACGUGGUUAGGCGGCAAGAAGGAGGAGGCGGACGCCGCCCUUAUACAGCAGGUCUCUCUCGUUCUCUCUAAGUUAUUAUUUCUUGUCAACGCUUUGCAAUUUCUCUUAUCGAUCAAUCCGUUAAUCAAUCGCAUCGCGCAUAAAUACCGAGAGUACAUCUCAAGCUCCUUGUCUAACGCUCUGGCUGGCUCUGAUUCUUAACCUUCAGAGCUUCAAUCUGGUGCCAGCACGAGGAGGAAGCUUUUACAUAGCUCGACAAUCUGGGAUGCUCUUUGAUCUCAAGAAGCCUCGGUCCGGGGGUCUGUCCUACUGGCUACCGAAACCUCCCUGCUCGGCAGCGCCCUUUCUUGGCCCGUUAUAUCAAAUCCUAUCCUCGGCAUACCCGCCGACGUCGGCUGCCACGGCACCGAGUACGCCUCCGCAUUUCGAACGCCUCAGCAUUUCGAAUCCGAAUGCCACCCAUGAUGAAACUUCCUCCGUCUCUACAGAGACCUGAUGAUAAAACUGUUUUACUUUCAAUGUUCUAGACUCUUGUUUUAUUUUCAAUGUUUUGUUGCACUACUUUUGUGAAUACGUAUUGGAUUCAUGUUCGAAUCCAAGUUCAGCAUAUGUCAUACUGCUCUUAUGAACUGAACUCAGUGGCAGGGCCUUCUAAUUCUCGUGGUAAUAUACUUAAUGUUUCAUGACAUUAGCAGUGAGGAUGUUAAUAUGAUGGAUAAACACUGCUCCUCUCGACAAUACCUCGCCCAUGCUUCUAGAGGAAAUAACUUUUCUUUUAACAUACAAGUUUUAUUUCAUGACUUUAAUAUAGUACAGAUAAUCAUGAGUUAAGAUAAAAAUAAAUAGGGAGCAAUUUACAUUUUGGCCGCCAUCGGCGAAAUGGAAGGUAGACAGAUGACUCUAGGACUCUCUACCAACGAAUUCAGCGGAGCGAGCCGGUCAUUUGACAAGUUGAUUAUGACAUUUUCAGAUAAAUGCAGGAGAAGCGUAUCCUUUUUUUACACCUUUAUUUGAGACUUUGCGGGGCUCCUCCCUUGCAUUGACCGUGCUUAUCCAGCGUCGAGAUUGAUCCGCAUUUGUCCAUUUCACAAUCAUAAAGUGCAUGCAAAAUGGACCGGAGAAGUACUGCAUUACUGUGAUAGUAAAUUGCAGGACUGUCUCCGCCGGUACUUGUGGAUUCAAUCGUGCAAGAAGGGGGGACACCAUUUGCUUCUCAUCAAGCCCCCAACCGUACUGAAUGACCAUUCCUGUCGCCAUCCGUCACAGGUUAUGUAUCUUAAUAUAUAUGUCUACAUGUAUUCACCUUUCGCUGUGAGAGUUUUCUCAUGAAAGGUAAUCUAAGGUAGAGAACAUCGACAAACUUCUCAAAGCAUAAUGUUACAGGACCAACCUCUUGAGUUUGCUUCAGUUCGGAAGAAGAGAGAAAAUUCUUCCCCGGGAGGAAGUAGAAGCUGUGAAGCAACAUCCAAACCAAAGCAAAAUACAAGCUACUUUUCAAGGUAUGAUCUUAGUUCUGAGUUAGCAUUAACAGAGCCUUCACUCCGUGCCUCGGCGAUCUUUGUACAGCCAAUUCCCUGCAAGAAAGGGGUCAAAGUGAACGUCUUUAUAAGACCAAGGGCUCGAAAAUCCCAUAAGGCAUGCAUCUGCAAAUAACUUCUCCUGCGAAGAGGAGAACAAGAACAACCCAGGACACAUGUGGAUACGCUCAAUGUAGCACAAUGAUUAAAUUAAAUCUGCCAAAAUGCUCCAAUGACAGAUAAAGCCAUAAAUAGACAUCUCACGUCAUUGUGUUCGACUGUUUUGAUAUCCCGUUUCAUAUUAAACUCUUGAUCCUUAGAUACGACGGCAAGGAUCAUGGCCAACAAAAGCAUGGGACUGAUUCACUGAGUGCCCAGAUAAAGAAGGUAAUUUAUCAUGUCAAUAGCAUGAAUGGAUGACGGUACCACUGAAUGAAAAGUUCGAUAACGAACAACAUGCCAAUGCACAUAGCUUGAAAAGUGCCAGAAGGAAAAAGCACAAAAAAGAUUGAAAUGGCGAGCUGACAUCCAUGAAGGAUGAUGACAUUCCCUGUUCAGCAGUAGAACAGGACCCCUAAAAUAGGAAUAAGGCACUUGCCGGUACUUGCUCAUGAGCUUAAUAAGGCGCAUGCUAUUUCAUUACGAGAAAGAAAAAGAGGACAAUAACCUGCCACGUACAUGGUUCAAGCCACAAAUUGUCGACAACAUCAGAGUUUGAUAGUCAAAGAGCUAUAAGGCCAUGACCAGCCGCCCAAACAGCAUGAGGGAACUUGGUUUCCUCUGUCCACUUUCAAAUCGUCCAUAUUAUGCAAGUCACCUCAAAGAAACCAACGGAACUUGUACGCAUAACGAUAUCAUCGUUUGCUCGCUGGUCCGGGUAUAUCAAGUUAGCUAAAAUUUUAGAACAAUGAUUCUUAUCUGAUAACCCUACCACCUUCUAUUUUUAACCACUGAAUUUGUUGUACUCCCGAUUCUUUAGAGUGCGCAAAAAAUAAAACAGCAGAAAUUUAUAGAUUAGAAUUUUGUCAAUUUUUAGAAUUGUUCGGAAGACAAUAGCCCGGGAUAGUCCAACAAACUAAUAGUAAGCAUCAAGGAGAAUUAAUUGAGCAUAACUCCAUUGUUUAUUUGGCCGUACGGUUCAAUUAGAUCAACGACAUUCUGUGUGUCCUCCUCAGUCAAUGUCAGCCCCAGAUGAUUCACCAGCAUUCGGCUAAUCUGCCUCACAACUUUCGUUUGCCGAAUCCAUUUAGGAACCAUAUUGCUCAAGGCCUAUGCAAAAUAAUGAGCGAAUAAUAUGCAUAUGGUAUAAAAUAUAUCACAUAAUGGGUAACCGCUCCAACCUCCAAAACUUCCAUUUUUACUCUCCUCCGAGAAUGAGAUUAGAGCACAAAGUCCCGGUGCUUAUUGGUUUUAGCAAAGAGAAAAUGAUCGAUUCAAGCAGAACUGAAUUUUGCUUCCCCUUACUCUUCGUCAAUUAUAAUUUAUGUUCCCUUUCCUCUGAACAAAAGAAAAAGGGACAUGCAGCCAGUUCCAUGGACCCCCGGGAAUCGGAUCGGGCAAAUCCGAAUCCAAAGCCGAAUAGGUUGGUUCCCAAUUUCACAAACUAGGACCCAGCCCCGUCUGGUCAAGUUCCCGGUUCCGGAGUGGGCCAAUUUAGCUCAGAAUCUACCCAUAAUCGGGUUCAAACAGUUCAGAGAAAAUUCAAAAUAACUUGGAAUUACCACCGCUCAAAGUUAGAAAAUCAAUCGUCAAAAAAAGUUAAAAAAUCAACAUCCCACUGAGAACCUUUCAGAUCAUCAUGUAACGUCAACUGAAAACACAUUAGAUCAGAUCUAACGUAUUGUCUUCACUGACAUGUGCCGACUUUUGCCAACAAAUUGGAAGACGUUUAAUCCCCUUAAUCCCCUCGAUUUCUUCCUCGAUUCAAAAAUCUUCAAUCGGAAUUUAACUUUAUCAAUUCGCAAAGUUUCCAAAUCCAAUGGGGUGUCGGAACUUGUUCGGAGGUCUUGUGAGCAUGCAUCAAUCCCCGUUAGAUAUCAGAAUGAGGAGUCCAACAAGAGAAUACAGCUGAAAUCCAAGCGCCUCAAUUCUCAAGUCAAAUAUAAGCUAUCCAGAACUGCAAAUCCACCAGCGACUCCACCUUCAUGUGAUGAUGAUAUCUUUGUUCUCAUUAAAUAACCACACUGUUCAUUUACGAUGACAUUCUCUUUCUUCCUGGUAAGAUCAAUCUCAGAUUACCAUGAGCACAUCAAAUGCAUUUACAAACAUUGUCGCUGAAUUCACUAGUGCUAACACGUGCGAACAACGGUGCUGUAGAAGGCAUGAAAUAAAUUAAAAACAGAAGCUUUGGUUAUCAGAUUUUCCCAUCCGACUCCAACUGCAAAGAUUAAAUUCCAAGUCAUUGAUUUUAAUUAAUCCGAGAUCACAUCCAUCAAACUAAUGAGAGAUGGAGCGACAUCAAAAAAUUACCUCACAUAAGCACCAUAUACCCCGAGUUCUGACAUGGCGUGAUCUUUAUAACAAAUGCCAUCACGAAUGAGAGUUGUGGGAGAAAUGGACGGAAAAAUUCUUUGCAUAAGGAUAUAGGCAGCAUCCUCCUCACUACCUUCACGUUGCAGCCUUAAUAGGGUUUCUCUCACGUCGUCGCCAUAGAUGUUGUUCCCUAAAGAGAGAAAUGACUUCAUUUUAGAAAGAAGAUAGCGCGGCUUAUAACAAAGCAAUCCUUGAAUAAUAUAAUCAAGGUGAGAGAUAAUUACCUCCCCCUUCCCUCUGGGGCUUCAUGACAAAUAGCUCGGGACUUUCAAUUGCUUUACCAACAAUAUGAGGGUCUUCUAAGCUCCAUAAACCUGCAAAGGAUUUCUGGAUCUCGGCAAUGUCUUCUUUGUUCUCAAGGAAUCUGAUAUAUGCACCAAUGGAGUCUCGUAAGUGAUCAAACACGUAGGAGAUAGAGUCUAUUCGACAGUGCAUCUUCUCCUGUAAUUAAAUUGACUUCUAAUGUUCCCAUCGAUAUGUUAUCGAGACUGUUCGGUAAGACAUAUGGAAGGAGCUAAAAUGGCCAUUUGGUAUUAAAAGUAGUCCUUAAUUCGCAGUCCUGGGUGCCAUUGAUUACAUCUAAGCUUCAAACUCAACUAAACAUCAUCAUAUUAGCUAUUGUUGUAUGCAUAGCACACAUCUAUAUACAUUUGUGCUUCAGGAGUUUUUCCAGGAAUGGUACGAUUCCAUAUAAAGCACAGAGGAUGAAGAAAUGUGAUCUGUUGAACAAAAUAUAUCACCUUUCAAGUACAUUAGGUUUUGCAAGUUCUUGCUGAAUCUUUUUCGUGCCGGCUAAAUGAUAAGAUAUGGAUGGGCACUUAAUUGCAGAUGACUCUUCCGUAAGUAGCCUUGCUCUCCAUUCCUACAAUACAGCAAGAAACAAAACUUAAGUCACACCUUUCAAGCAUUGACCCAGGGCUUAAGAUUUCCGCACUUCUUACUAUUUUAUAACAUAGGGUUUUCAAGUGGCACUAAUUUGACGCCUGUCAACUUCUUGAGGUUGUGUGAAGAAUGGAUUUCAUAUUUCCUCUUAUUGGUUUCUUUCCAUUCCCUCUGUUUACUUACUUUGUGGAUAAUCAUUUAUUUGCCUUCCACCCAGAAAUUUUUUUAAGUUGAUGAUAUUUUCUGGAACAAAGUCCACUUUUUCCAUAACCAAUUGGACAAACUUGGUUAUUUGGAGGAAAUGUCAUGAUUACAUUGUUUAGUAUUCUUUUACAUCGCAUAAUGCUAUAUGUUUUGAACAUGAAGUCAAUUGUUUAGCCAAGCUUGGCUUACGAAUGUUCAUAUGUACAUUAUCAAGUAUUGUUCAUUGUGGCCAGUCUCAUGGAAUUAUGAUAUAGUAAUGAGGGAAUCCUAACAAUCAAAAUGUGCAGGAAAUAGAGAAGUAUAUUAUAAUCAUGAAUCUAACAGAAAUAAUCGACUUGCAUAAAACAUCAUGAUGAUACUAAUAAUUGUUCUAUUCAGUCAUCAAGACAUAUAAAAGCGAAUCUUUAUGAAAACUAGAGUAAGGAUGCAGUCACUAUAACAUUGUAAGAAAUGCUGCCACAGAAAUAUUUUAUGAGAAGAAUAAAACCCGCCUCAAACGCGGGAUUUUCACUAGUAUGGUAAUAAAACAUAUCUAUAAAGAAAGCAUCUGGUAAAGCUAAAAUGGAAGGAGAAAUUUUCUGAAAAUUAAUCACAGCUACAGUCAAUAUUUCAAGGAAGACAAUCUUCUCUUAGUUGCUAUUAGCUAAUUAUUAGGAUAAGGCUUAAGGAUGUACCGAUUCUGAAGGAUAAUCAUUUGGGGUAUACCCGGCUCUAAAAUAAAUAGCUGCUACAGGGACUCCACCUCUUGCAAUAGCAAAUCUUCAUUAUGUAAGUGAAACGUGCAUGUAAAGCCAAAGUUCAACAAGAUAAACUAGAGAUGUCAGCAACUACAUACACAAGUAACGUCCCAUCAGGCUGAAGUUCCCCCUCUGCAUCAAUUUCUGCUAAGGUCUUCCGAAUAGACCUCACAUUAUGUGUGUUAUAUAAUUAAGGAAGCAUCCAAAGCAAAUUAUGGACAUGAAGAGACUGAUGGACAGAAAUAGAGAACUUUAUAGUUUGGAAAGCAGAUUUUUGGACGCAGAGCAUCAUAGCAGAUAGAUGUAGAAUCCAAGAAAUGAUCUAAGAGAGACAAAGAGAGAUAAUCACAGAUAUAACCUACCCUUCUGAUAUCUCAAAACAAUCGCUAGUAUAUAGAAGGAUAUCUUUCGCUCACGACAGAGCUAAGCCAGUGCAGGUCGUACAUAUUUCGUUCCUCUGUCUGAACCACAACCAGAACAGUGGCCCUGUUAAAAGUAAUCAAUUGUAAUCAGGUCUUAAUGAAAUAUACUCCACAUAUGCAGACCUAUGAAUAAAAAAAAGAAAAGAAGACGACCAUAAUUAUUUUGCAAUUCUUACUUUGGGUUAUUGAACUCGAUCCAAGCUUUGGCCAAGGCCUCUGCAUAAUGACUCACAGCAGCAUUGGUAGGGAUCCUCCUGGGAUCUAACCCAAGAGUUUCGCCAUAAUGGCUGAGCAAGGACCCGUGUCAUUGCCACCUGACGUUAAGAUCAAGCUUUUGGUCUUCUGUGACCAUCUUUGACCGUGCAUGUGAACAGGUGCGUAUGGGCUUAGAGAAAUCACAGGGAAUGUAAGAGUCAGUACAUAUGACCAACCUAACCUGUGGAGCUCACUAACAAGACAGCCAAGACCCGGAAAUGAGGAUGAUAUGGUGUUCAGUUCUAUCUGAAGCAGUAACUUCGUUUGUUCAUCAAGCGUAUAAUCCGAUUGAUGCAAACCCAGUCGUAUCUCCUGUGGAGAAUUGAGAGAGCAAAAUUAUGGGGUUUAGCACACUAAUCAUAUUCAGCAAUCAGCAUAUUUUUCUUCCAGACGAGGAAAGCAGCCAAUCAAAGUGACAUGAACUUGAAAAGCCAGUUUUAAUACACUAUUGCAACCAAACUUAAGGUAAAGCUUUCACAAAAUUCUAAAUUUAUGAACUUACAUCUUUUUUAUUAAUUUCCAUCAUCUUGGAAUGGAUAUCUACGAGUCGAGAGGUGAAAGCAUCCACCUCUUUUGUUCUGCAAUGAGAAGAAGUUACAUCAUGUAAUUCAACAGUAAGUUCGGACUUGCUUCACCAAUGCGACAACUAAAAGCCGGACUACAAAAAUACCAUUGAUUGCAAGGAAGGUAGAAGGGCUCAUAAUUUCCAAAAUACUAGGUUAUGAGAAAAAUAGAAGAGCUAAAAGGAGUUGAAUUUUUCAUAAGCUAAGAAACAACCAAGAGCAUAUGAUACAAGCCAAAGCAGAGUGAGAAUUGAAUCAGACCUAAGAAUUCACAUGAAACAAUGGUCUUAAUCUUCUUGAAUUGGACACUAUAUGCUUAUAGCAUAAACUACAUGCCGUAUUCGACCAAAAGAAGAAAAAAAAAAAAAACUACAUGCUGCAGACAUAUAGAUAAAGCAGAAUAAAUACCUGGAUAAUGAAUCUUGUAAAAACUUUCCAUCCAAACUCACACGAUCGACAAGCUCAUUGAAAAUAGGAGCUAAUUCGCAAGCCUCCCUAAACUGACUCUCGGGAAUGAGAUGGGCAACAAAGCAAACGGAGCAUGCAUCAGACCGACACCAGGUGCUUUUCCUGAUCUCUGCAACACAUACGCAUAAAUACCAUUAUCAGUCAAACUGUAGAAUUAAACAACCCAGAUCAAAUUCGACAGGAAACUCCAUAAACAGCACAUCAGAAAGUCGCAUAUUCCAAGUCAUUGAUUUUGAUUAAUCAGAGAUCACAUCCAUCAAACUAAUGAGAGAUGGAGUGACAUCAAAAAAUUACCUCACAUAAGCACCAUAUACCCCGAGUUCUGACAUGGCGUGAUCUUUAUAACAAAUGCCAUCACGAAUGAGAGUUGUGGGAGAAAUGGACGGAAAAAUUCUAUGCAUGAGGAUAUAGGCAGCAUCCUCCUCACUCCCUUCACGUUGCAGCCUUAAUAGGGUUUCUCUCACAUCGUCGCCAUAGAUGUUGUUCCCUAAAGAGAGAAAUGACUUCAUUUUAGAAAGAAGAUAGCGCGGCUUAUAACAAAGCAAUCCUUGAAUAAUAUAAUCAAGGUGAGAGAUAAUUACCUCCCCCUUCCCUCUGGGGCUUCAUGACAAAUAGCUCGGGACUUUCAAUUGCUUUACCAACAAUAUGAGGGUCUUCUAAGCUCCAUAAACCUGCAAAGGAUUUCUGGAUCUCGGCAAUGUCUUCUUUGUUCUCAAGGAAUCUGAUAUAUGCACCAAUGGAGUCUCGUAAGUGAUCAAACACGUAGGAGAUAGAGUCUAUUCGACAGUGCAUCUUCUCCUGUAAUUAAAUUGACUUCUAAUUUUCCCAUCGAUAUGUUAUCGAGACUGUUCGGUAAGACAUAUGAAUGGAGCUAAAAUGGCCAUUUGGUAUUAAAGGUAGUCCUUAAUUCGCAGUCCUGGGUGCCAUUGAUUACAUCUUAGCUUCAAACUCAACUAAACAUCAUCAUAUUAGCUAUUGUUGUAUGCAUAGCACACAUCUAUAUACAUUUGUGCUUCAGGAGUUUUUCCAGGAAUGGUACGAUUCCAUAUAAAGCACAGAGGAUGAAGAAAUGUGAUCUGUUGAACAAAAUAUAUCACCUUUCAAGUACAUUAGGUUUUGCAAGUUCUUGCUGAAUCUUUUUCGUGCCGGCUAAAUGAUAAGAUAUGGAUGGGCACUUAAUUGCAGAUGACUCUUCCGUAAGUAGCCUUGCUCUCCAUUCCUACAAUACAGCAAGAAACAAAACUUAAGUCACACCUUUCAAGCAUUGACCCAGGGCUUAAGAUUUCCGCACUUCUUACUAUUUUAUGACAUAGGGUUUUCAAGUGGCACUAAUUUGACGCCUGUCAACUUCUUGAGGUUGUGUGAAGAAUGGAUUUCAUAUUUCCUCUUAUUGGUUUCUUUCCAUUCCCUCUGUUUACUUACUUUGUGGAUAAUCAUUUAUUUGCAUUCCACCCAGAAAUUUUUUUAAGUUGAUGACAUUUUCUGGAACAAAGUCCACUUUUUCCAUAACCAAUUGGACAAACUUGGUUAUUUGGAGGAAAUGUCAUGAUUACAUUGUUUAGUAUUCUUUUACAUCGCAUAAUGCUAUAUGUUUUGAACAUUAAGUCAAUUGUUUAGCCAAGCUUGGCUUACGAAUGUUCAUACGUACAUUAUCAAGUAUUGUUCAUUGUGGCCAGUCUCAUGGAAUUAUGAUAUAGUAAUGAGGGAAUCCUAACAAUCAAAAUGUGCAGGAAAUAGAGAAGUAUAUUAUAAUCAUGAAUCUAACAGAAAUAAUCGACUUGCAUAAAACAUCAUGAGGAUACUAAUAAUCGUUCUAUUCAAUCAUCAAUACAUAUAAAUGUAAAUCUUUAUGAAAACUAGAGUAAGGAUGCAGUCAUUAUAACAUUGUAAGAAAUGCUGACGCAGAAAUAUUUUAUGAGAAGAAUAAAACCCGCCUCAAACGCGGGAUUUUCACUAGUAUGGUAAUAAAACAUAUCUAUAAAGAAAGCAUCUGGUAAAGCUAAAAUGGAAGGAGAAAUUUUCCGAAAAUUAAUCACAACUACAAUCAAUAUUACCUCCCCCUUCCCUCUGGGGCUUCAUGACAAAUAGCUCGGGACUUUCAAUUGCUUUACCAACAAUAUGAGGGUCUUCUAAGCUCCAUAAACCUGCAAAGGAUUUCUGGAUCUCGGCAAUGUCUUCUUUCUUCUCAAGGAAUCUGAUAUAUGCACCAAUGGAGUCUCGUAAGUGAUCAAACACGUAGGAGAUACAGUCUAUUCGACAGCUCAUCUUCUCCUGUAAUUAAAUUGACUUCUAAUGUUCCCAUCGAUAUGUUAUCGAGACUGUUCGGUAAGACAUAUGAAAGGAGCUAAAAUGGCCAUUUGGUAUUAAAAGUAGUCCUUAAUUCGCAGUCCUGGGUGCCAUUGAUUACAUCUAAGCUUCAAACUCAACUAAACAUCAUCAUAUUAGCUAUUGUUGUAUGCAUAGCACACAUCUAUAUACAGACAAAAUGAGUUUCAGUCUAAUAAAAUGUAAAGCAAAGCUGGGAGCGCUUCAAGCAUCCAGCGCCGCUGCUGGUGGCGCUGUCCUGCCUUCCUCCAUAUCCGGGAGCCCCACUUUCUCCAGUAGUGCCUGAAACUGGGAUCGGUCCUCCUCCUCCUCCAUCCAUCCUCCUCCUCCGCUGCCUGUCCUUCAUCCAUGGCAUCUGGUUCCGUACGGAAGACGGAAAAUACAAGGGUUGCUCCCUGCUGUGCUGUCAUUUGCAGAAUAAAACUCUAGAGCAAAACACAAAUCAGUAUUCUUCCUAUUCCCAAAAAAAAGGCACAGCAAAAGAAAAGAGAAUACAUGGUUGAAGUUGUAUGGUAGCACAACGUCCUCUUCCCUCCCAUACUGUCCACCAAAGGAGGCGUAGAUGCGUUGAGCGACGUGGUCAACGAACGCAUCGAACUCAUCCAAAUGGAACUUGAAUCUAUCCAAACCGUUCACAAACGCAGCAAUGGCCUCCGGGGUCCCAAGACGGACCCCAUCAAAAUCCAUGCACGCUUCAUCAUAAAAGCUUAUCAGCUCUUGCCUAUCCCUUGCCAAAAUAUCAUGGUAUAACACACCCCAACCUGCCGCCAUGUCUUUGAGUCUUUCAUCAUCCAUACCUCUGUUCUGUUCAAGAACAAUAGGUGCAAAUAACGUACGCAUAAAGAAAAAAAGGAAAAAAAAAAAAAUGGCAGAGCUCGACCUCAUUUCCACAUACUGACCUGUCGACGACGCUCGAAGGGAAAAAGACGGUGGAGCCUCACCGCGAUCGCCGUCCGACGUUUGCAGAGAUUCGACGACGAAAUGAGAGAGCGGGGCGGUAUUCUGUUUAGGAUGACCGAGAAAUGGGUUUUCUCUUCCACCAAUCAGAGUUUUAAAUUUGGGAAAACACGUUUCGCGACGUCGUUUAUACUAUGUAUGCGGAGUUAGAGCAUGGGUGAGCCAAGUCAGAUUGAAAAAAAAAAAAAAUUGAUAAAAUAUUACUUAUUUUGAAUUUUCAACUAUUCAAAUCAAAGUUAACACUUGAAGUGAAUCAAUAAAGCUACAUCUACCACCACCGCCCGGCCACCAAUCUUUCCUUACACGAGAUACGAGAUUCGAGAUUGGACAGGAUAAUUCCUACUCGCCGACAUUAGACAACUCUCAAAUGGAUGAACUGGCAUUGGAUAGAGCCGUCUGAUUGGGGCAUUUUUCUGCUUCUAGGGUUUGUGUGUGGAAAUCGAACUUACUUAAAUUGUGAAGAUGUUUAAACCAAUUCGAAUUUGUGAAAGAUAUUUCUGCUUCUAGGGUUUGUGUGUGGAAAUCAAACUUACUUAAAUUGUGAAGAUGUUUAAACCAAUUCGAAUUUGUGAAAAACACGUACACAUCAGCAUUCAAAGUCCCCCUCAAAUUUAGUCGCGAUAUUUCUAUUAAUCAAGAUAAUAUAUAUAAUGAUUUCCCAAAAAUAGUCAUAAAACUUAUUACAAGGAUACCAAUUCAGUCUAAAAUUUUUCAAUUUGCUUAAUUUAGUCCUAACCUUUUAUUAAGAUUUGUCAAUAGUCUAUUCGAGCAAUUUUAAAUGACGAUAGGUGGUUGUUAGCCAAAAUUGACCGAAAUUGCUAUAUUGGUAAAUCUUCAAAAGUUUAAAAUUGAAUUAAUACAUUGAAAAAUUUUGAUUGAAUUUGCAUUUAUAUAUUAAGUUUGAGACUUAAAAAGAAAAAUCUCAUGUGCAUUGGUGGAGAAUCCGAAUGCGGUGUCAUAUCUUUUCAUUUGAAAUGUUAAUGUUUGAUACGCAUGCUGUGUUAAGCUGUAUAACGACAUGUAAACCAAAGUCCGUACAUCAUAUCUGGAAAGAUUUCGAUCGGCUAAGGACAAAUACCCGGUUAUUAUCCCACAUGGGAAAUCCGCCAACCGCGCGGUGGCAAGUCAAUGAUCUCAUCUCAAGGAUUGACCGCCGAGGUGGCCAGAGCAGCACCUCACAUUUGGCUUUUGUAGAAGAAGAAUCAAAGCGCUUUUCUUUUUGGUAUAUCUAUGAUGAUGAUGAUAUUAUUAUUAUUAUUAUUAUUAUUAUUAUUAUUAUUAUUAUUGAUCUAAUUCUCACGGACUCAAUAUAAUAUUCACACAUACCACGAGGACAUCUAGAGGACCGCAUGCACAUACGUAAGGUAUUCAUUUAUUUAUUAUUGGGUUUCCACGUUGUCUCUUCCUUUUUCUCCUUUUUCUUUUUUCAUUUUUAUAUUCCUUAGAAAUUAGCAGCCCCUUUAGAAGAAGCCUCUAUUCAAGGGGAAGAAAAGGUCGUCUCGGACUCCCCCAUCAUUGAGGUUCCACUAAAAUGACCAUUAAUUCAGGUUUUAAAUUCAAAGAGAUUGUCUCAGGUACCAACUCCUAACAAAAAAAUUAAAUUGGUCUAUACCAUGAUUUUGAUAAUUCAAAGAGAUUGUCUAAGGGAGAACCAUCACUUCAACGGGUUGCUUAUUAAACUCUCUUUUGAACUUAUCGUGGAAUCAAACUGAAUUUCAAAUGAUGACAACAAGAGCAUGUGCAGGUGCAUGGUGCUUGCAUGUAUCUUUGCGAUAUAUGGGAAAUUGGGUCAUUUGCAUGAAAAAGCUGUAGGUGCUUCUUACUUUCUUAGUUUGCUAUUGAAAGCACACGGAAAUCGAAAACCAUGGAGAAGUCUAUCAAGUGACUAAACUUGAUUAAUCUGUAGAGCAUGGCACCUAGAGUUAGGCGUAUUGUCGAUCUUGAAUUUCAACGGGUUGUUUAUUAAACUCUCUUUUGAACUUAUCGUGGAAUCAAACUGAAUUUUAGAUGAUGGCAUCAAGAAUAUGUGCAAGUCGCCACGCUUGCGUGUAUAUUUGCGAUAUAUGGAAAUGGAAAUCAAAAUCGGGCCACUUGCAUGGAAAAAGUUGGAAUUGCUUUUUACUUUCUUAGUUGGCUAUUGAAAGCACGUGGAAAUUGAAAACUAUGGAGAAGUCCAUCAAGUGACUAACCUUGAUUAAUCUGUAGAGUUAGGCGUACCGUCGGUCUUGAAUUUUCCGUAUGCAUCGUGAUGAGGGUAUAGAUAAGGGCUUUGCCUAGUAGAGAGGGGUGUGCACGCUAAAUUUUCAGCAUUAAGCUAAAACAUUCUCCUGUGGGUGAUCUAUAGUCUACUGACGCUAGACGCCCUUCUUUUUUCUUUUUUCUGGGUGUGAAAUUAAAAAGAAAAAGAAAAAAAGAGAAGUAAAACUUGUUAGAAACAAUAAUUAUCAAGUUGGAAUGUAGAAAUCAUGUUCAAUGUAUUGUUACUGUGAUUUAAUAUUUGCUUCUUUUCGUUUCUAAUUUGCUAAUAACUUGACAUCCCUUCUAUAGUUAAAAAGGUUGUGAUAGUUGCGGACGAAGACUUUUGCAUUACAUUGUUUAGGCUGUUUUUUCACAUGCAUUGCUUGUCACUAUAUAGUAAUGAUCUUUUAAAAUGAGCAAUAAACUUAUAUCUUAACCCAUAUUUGAAAAGUUGAGUUAUUGCAUGGAUUAGUUAUAUUUAGUAAAUGGAUUUAAAAUAGUAAAGUCUAAAAUAAUAUGGAUAUUAAACAAACUCACGGUUUACUUAAACCAAUUCACCUCUAUGACUCUCUCUCGCCCUUACUAAUCUCGCAAUCACUCACUCCACGUCCUUACCUCAGUUUGCAGAUGAGUUUUCCUAUAUUAGGUAGAACAUGAAAGCGCUUUAACCAUAUGAAUUAGGUUAGAUAGAAAAACGCGUCAGAUCAUUAUGAGUAUCUAAAUUUGUAUUGCAUAAAAAUAAGUCAAAACAACUUAAAUUGGCCAAAUUAGGUCAAUUUAUUUUUCACUCAACCCAAACCCAACCUAAUCCACCCAUUUCACGAGUCUCUAUAAUACUAAGUAUUAGGUUUUUAUCUCUUGUUUCCAACUAUACAAAUUUUUUUUCUAAAGUAUUAAAGCUCGAUGGUCAGAGUUCUAAUCCUAACCCCGACACAUACUAUUCUUCACGCGUACUUCGAUUUUUGGCAUGCCCACAUUUGUCUACCUUUUCCAUUCUUGUUGUCAUAGAAUCCUCACCAUGUCCUAAAUUGAGGAAUGAAUUAGACUGAAGAAGUAAUUUCGUAGGGAAGUCGACUCAUGCCGUUUGUUCAGAAGAUCGCCUCAAAGUAAAUGGAUUGAUUCGCUUGGAGGAAAUUGAUGUGCACUUGUCGGUGCGUCUAACAUUUUUUUUUUUAUAAAUAUCAUUUGUAUUGAAUGACUAAAAUAUAUUUUUAUUUUUCUAUGCAAAUAUUUAAAAAUAAAUGGUUAUCGAUAAAGAAAUUACUUUGUAUUGAUUAAUUAUUUCAUAAAAUAAGCAAUUAUUUUUAAAAUAUAUAUUUUCAGAUUAUUUAUUUUUCACCAAACAAACGGAGUUUGCUUAAUUGUUCGAUUGAUGCUAUUGGUGUUUCUUUUCAAUUCAAUCGCCUCGUCAACAAUCUCCUCUGACCCCUUAACGAACCCCUCUCUCUCUCUUCAAUUCCCUCACCUCCUCGCACGUACCCCGCCCGCAUUGUCUCCUCCUCCUGCAAUUGCCGUUUUUCCAAUUUCACCGCCUUCAUCGCCACCUCCACCUCCUCGAUACGCCCCUCCCCUCUCCUAAUCUCAUCCAUCCAUCUCAGAACCACCGAAACCUUCUCCAGCAAUCUCUCCGUGCAAUUCCAAUACUCGUGCCCUUUCACUUCCGACCGCUCCUCAAUUCUCUCCAAAUUCAGCCGUAGCGGUGGCGAAGAAGGGGCUGAACUGGAAAAAGAAAAAACAAGGGGGGGCUUUCUAGUCUUUUCAGCCGACAGAGAACCGGUUUCGGGUCGGUCGGUGGAUCCGGACCCGAUGAUUCCAAAAUAAAAAAGAAAACCCUGGAAGCCCUAGAGAAAUUGUCUCCAGUUCACACAGAUCCAGCAGGAGGAGGAGGAGGAGGAGGAGGAGGAGAGAUGUCGACGAUCGGUCCAGAAGACGUGACAGAAGCGGAAGGAGGAGGAGGAGGAGAGAUGUCGAUGGUGGGUCCGGAAGAAGACAGGGAUCCGAUGAUAGCGGAGGCCAAGCGGUUCGUGGAGAACUACUACAGCACGUUCGACGCGAACAGGGAGGGCUUGGUGAACCUGUACCGGCAACGAUCGGUGCUGAAAAUCGACGGCCGGAAGAUCCAGGGCAAGGAGGCUAUCCUCGCCAAACUCACCUCCCUUCCGCAGCCGUGCCACCACGAAUUCGCCGAGGUCAGUUGCGGCACCUAUCGCUUGGCACCCGCAUCGGCAUCGGUCGCCGUGUCCGUCCUGGUCGGGGGCGGGACGUGGUUAGGCGGCAAGAAGGAGGAGGCGGACGCCGCCCUUAUACAGCAGGUCUCUCUCGUUCUCUCUAAGUUAUUAUUUCUUGUCAACGCUUUGCAAUUUCUCUCAUCGAUCAAUCCAUUAAUCAAUCGCAUCGCGCAUAAAUACCGAGAGUACAUCUCAAGCUCCUUGUCUAACGCUCUGGCUGG